GCCCCGAAGCGGGGGUACCGGCGCGCCGGUUGAGACAGACCCUUCGAACCUGACGCGGUUGAGACCGCCGUAGGGAGCCUUCGCCGGACCACG
RNAcentral lists this non-coding RNA (93 nucleotides) under Noviluteimonas dokdonensis. RNAcentral's name for it is "Lysobacter dokdonensis TPP sequence". It matches the Rfam family "TPP riboswitch aptamer (THI element)". From Rfam's summary of the family: Vitamin B(1) in its active form thiamin pyrophosphate (TPP) is an essential coenzyme that is synthesised by coupling of pyrimidine and thiazole moieties in bacteria. The previously detected thiamin-regulatory element, thi box was extended, resulting in a new, highly conserved RNA secondary structure, the THI element, which is widely distributed in eubacteria and also occurs in some archaea. Analysis of operon structures identified a large number of new candidate thiamin-regulated genes, mostly transporters, in various prokaryotic organisms. The record is from RNAcentral. Lineage: Bacteria; Pseudomonadati; Pseudomonadota; Gammaproteobacteria; Lysobacterales; Lysobacteraceae. RNAcentral also lists the same sequence under 1 other name.